This 383-nucleotide ribosomal RNA is filed under the name uncultured eukaryote. RNAcentral's name for it is "SSU rRNA". It matches the Rfam family "Eukaryotic small subunit ribosomal RNA", at positions 587 to 972 of the family's 1831-position model. RNAcentral also lists the same sequence under 1 other name. The record is from RNAcentral.
AGCUCCAAAAGUGUAUAUUUAAGUUGUUGCGGUUGAAAAGCUCGUAGUUGGAUUUUGGGACGGCGCGUCUGGUCGGUCGCAAGGCUUGUACUGCACGCGCUGUCCUCACGUGACCGGCGCCUCUAAGGUGCUCUUGACUGAGUGUCUUUGUGGUCCGGGAAGUUUACCUUGAAAAAAUUAGAGUGUUCAAAGCAGGCUUAAAGCUUGAAUAAUGUUGCAUGGAAUAAUGGAAUAGGACCUCGGUUCUAUUUUGUUGGUUUUCGGAGCGCGAGGUAAUGAUUAAGAGGAACGGACGGGGGCAUCCGUACUGUGCCGUUAGAGGUGAAAUUCUUGGAUCGGCGCAAGACGAACAACUGCGAAAGCAUUUGCCAAGAAUGUUUUCU